GGACGAACGCUGGCGGCGUGCUUAACACAUGCAAGGUCACGGGGGCCCGGCAAGGGUAACCGGCGAACGGGUGCGUAACACGUGAGCAAUCUGCCGUGAUCUGGGGGAUAGCCCGGCGAAAGCCGGAUUAAUACCGCAUACGACCUGAGGGUGAAAGGGGGGGAUCGCAAGACCUCUCGCAGUUGGAGCGGCCGAUGGCGGAUUAGCUAGUUGGUAGGGUAAAGGCCUACCAAGGCGACGAUCCGUAGCUGGUCUGAGAGGACGACCAGCCACACUGGAACUGAGACACGGUCCAGACUCCUACGGGAGGCAGCAGUGGGGAAUUUUGGACAAUGGGGGCAACCCCUGAUCCAGCCAUUCCGCGUGAGUGAAGAAGGCCUUCGGGUUGUAAAGCUCUUUCGGCAGGAACGAAACGGUGGUCCCUAAUACGGAUUGCUAAUGACGGUACCUGAAGAAGAAGCACCGGCUAACUACGUG
This 477-nucleotide ribosomal RNA is filed under the name uncultured bacterium. Its description in RNAcentral is "bacterial SSU rRNA". It matches the Rfam family "Bacterial small subunit ribosomal RNA", at positions 27 to 507 of the family's 1533-position model. The record is from RNAcentral.